GCUGUUUACAGUUUAUCUCUAUCUAUAAUAAUAUUUAAGAUAAUAACCAAACUCUGCAAAAUUUCCUUCAAAUUACUAAUUUGGGGGCAGCAAUCCAUCAACGGGUUGUCAGAUUUGUCUGAAAAUUCCUGGGCAGAUAGAUCUUCACUGAAGAGACAAUUUCACUAAUGUCAGAUUUGCUCUAAAUGCUUUGGUUUCAGAGUUAUAAGCCAAAAUCUACAUUUUACCUGUAUGUUCUAUUUUUGGCCAUAGUGGCCAUCUCGGUUGGUUGACCGGUCUAACCACACAUUUUUUAAAUUAGAUACCGCAAUGAU
This 314-nucleotide long non-coding RNA is filed under the name Mytilus galloprovincialis (Mediterranean mussel). The record is from RNAcentral. Lineage: Eukaryota; Metazoa; Mollusca; Bivalvia; Mytilida; Mytilidae.